Long non-coding RNA from Rosa chinensis, 2529 nucleotides. RefSeq lists it as uncharacterized. The record is from RefSeq and is a predicted model, not a curated record. Lineage: Eukaryota; Viridiplantae; Streptophyta; Magnoliopsida; Rosales; Rosaceae. The transcript is spliced from 3 exons.
CUCUCUCUCUCUCUCUCUCUCUCUCUCUCUCUCUCUCUCUCUCUCUCUCUCUCUCUCUCUCUCUCUCUCUCUCUCUCUCUCUCUCUCUCUCUCUCUCUCUCCCACUUUCCCAAGAGUCUAGCCAUCUACAAGCGGUUAACCAUGGCCAGCAAGAUCGGACUCUGUGACUCGACUCGUUCUCCAACUCGUUCCAGGGGAUCUCGAGCCUCUCGUCAUCGUCGUUGAAGACCUCAAUGUGCAGCAACAGAUUCAUUUCAUCCAGUCGUCGUCCAGGCUCCACUAGUUUGGGCUGAAUGACAAGGCUCACCGAUGAAGGACGGCGGGAACAAGGCCUAUUCUGGCUAUUGAGAUCGGAGCUUUUUGGGUCUGAUUUCAAUUCUUUUUCUGCUCCUGUAGGUGGCGUUACCAAUAUGGAUGACGGGAACAUUCCGGGCCCAACUACCCAAACCUUAGUGCUCCCAAUUCUUCUACCAUGGACGGCGUAGCUGGCCUGGGCUACUUCAAUUUGGCCAAGGAGGAGAUCGCCAAGACUGUUAGGGCUGAAGAAUGGGGCUUAAGAUCGGCGUCGACAACACAAUGAAACCGCUCGGAUUCUAGUUGAGUUCUUGGAGGUGGCAAUCACAUCAAUUGUUUUCCUCAAAGGAAUUUAUCCUACAGGUUUGUUUUAAUCUCAUUCAAUCACAAAGCCCAGUUCUUGUUUGUGGUUUCUGGGAAAAUUUUUGGUAUUGGGUUUGUGUUCUUUUUUUCCCAUUAUUUGGGGAACCUAGAAAGGAAAACCAUAAAAGCCCAUGUGUAUGAGGGGUUUAAUGUUGGAAAUUGCUUUGUUUUUGGAUUGAAGUUGCUUUUGAGAGAAGGAAGUAUAUUAAUUUGGUUGUUCAUAGAGCUCAGCACCCUGAGCUCAGAGAUUAUAUCCAUUAUGCUAUCUCAGGACUUCUUCCUUUUAUGAAAAAGGUGAGUACUUUGGGAACAAAUUACUUUACUUUUGUUUUUUUCGUAAUAUAUUGUCUUUUGUAAUGAGAUGUUUGGAUGAAUUAGCCGAUUCAUGUAAUGCUACUAGUCAGUGGUUGAGUUUUGGAAUAGACUACUGACCUGUUUGUUGAAAUUGUUACAUUGUUAUACAUUUAGGCUAACACUGGUAUCAAGUGGAAGUCAUUGUCUCACCUUAAUUAUACGGCAUCUUUUAUUUCUAUAAUGAUCACUAUCAUCAUAUAUGUGUCUUUUGUAGUCAAAAUAUGUUUUAAAUUCUUGAACAUCAACGUCGGUGAGUUCCAUUUUUUUGUUGGCCCUAAUUUCCUUUUAGCUAUCCCAGUCUUAAGUUAUUCUGUUUCAUUAUAUAAUAUAAUAUUAAUUGUAGUUUUGGUGAAUCCACUAUUUCUUGUGUGGACUCGGCUUCUCUGCUAGAAUAUGACUUGCUAUAUUUUGUUUGAAUUUUACUCACAGCUGUCAGAUAUAGAUUUAAGGGCAAGAUGAUGCCACAUCAAGAAACAUCAAGAAGUCACUUCAAGUCAAAGGUGUAGCUACACACGGGCUCCGCUGGGCUACAGCCCACCCCUGAAAAAACUAUAAUUUUAGUUUAAAAAAUUAAAUAUUAAAAAGUAGCCCACUUCAAAUUUCUAAAGUUAGCCCAUAUGUUAAUUUUUUUGGGUCAUAUCUAUGUUAUUUCUUUGCUUGAAGUAUUUGAUUGUGUUUUAUUUUCUAUUUUACUUUAAGAGACAUAUUCGCAUAAAAAUCUUGCUUUUUGUAGGUAAAUAAGGUCAGAAUAAGAGUUGGCUGAGAAUUAUGAUACAAAUUCAAUAAUUAAAUAUUUUUGGUUUUAUUCAAGAGCACAAGAUAAAGUUUGAGUAGAUAUGUUAUUUUGUCUUAGACUUUUGUUACCGAAUUUCUAUCAAAUGUUAUAAUGUUGAUUUUUUUUGAAUCAGUUAGCUAUUUGAUUAUUUAAUAUGUAAUUAAUAUAUGAUGUAGUUUAAUUUAAGGAAAGAAUAAAACAUGUUACUAGUAAAACUUAGGAAAAAAAAAUAAUUUAAAGCAUUAGUAAAAUUUUAUUAAUUUUUUUUUUAGCCCAUCCUAUUUUAAAAUCCUAGCUCCGCCAUUGCUUCAAGUUCAUCCCUUGCAGUUUUUUUUUCUAGCAAAUUAUAGUUCUAGCUGAGAAGCCAAAUCCUUCUUGUGUAGGGAAUUGCAACAGUUGGAAAUUCAUUAUUUUUUUUGCGCAGUCGGUUGGGAGACAGUUUGCUUGUGCAGUUUACUAGUGGAGUAGGGGCCUCGAUGUUGUCAGCUGGUUUGAAAGAUGAGGAGAUAUUGAAGGUGAUGCCCCAUCAGCUAAGCGAUUGUGAAUGUCAUCUUCUGAUGCAUUGCAAGAUAUGAUUAGUGGUGAGGAGCUCUCUUUAUAUGGGUCAGCUCAAAACAAUGCAGAAUCAUCUCAGGUUGUUCACUUUUCGAAGAAUGCAUUUCCUGUUAAUGUUUUAAUCUGCUUGAUUUGUUCCAUACGGGGAAUUUUUAAUGAAAAAAACAUUGAAAGGAUCUUUGCCAUUG